CGUACACUCCUACGGGAGGCAGCAGUGGGGAAUAUUGGACAAUGGGCGCAAGCCUGAUCCAGCCAUGCCGCGUGAGUGAUGAAGGCCCUAGGGUUGUAAAGCUCUUUCACCGGUGAAGAUAAUGACGGUAACCGGAGAAGAAGCCCCGGCUAACUUCGUGCCAGCAGCCGCGGUAAUACGAAGGGGGCUAGCGUUGUUCGGAUUUACUGGGCGUAAAGCGCACGUAGGCGGACUAUUAAGUCAGGGGUGAAAUCCCGGGGCUCAACCCCGGAACUGCCUUUGAUACUGGUAGUCUUGAGUUCGAGAGAGGUGAGUGGAAUUCCGAGUGUAGAGGUGAAAUUCGUAGAUAUUCGGAGGAACACCAGUGGCGAAGGCGGCUCACUGGCUCGAUACUGACGCUGAGGUGCGAAAGCGUGGGGAGCAAACAGGAUUAGAAACCCCUGUAGUCCCAUG
RNAcentral lists this ribosomal RNA (453 nucleotides) under uncultured organism. RNAcentral's name for it is "partial 16S ribosomal RNA". It matches the Rfam family "Bacterial small subunit ribosomal RNA", at positions 330 to 799 of the family's 1533-position model. The record is from RNAcentral.